AGAAUAUCUAAUGAUAUGAAAAAUGUCCAUACUAUAUCACAUAAAAACCAGUUUCAAAAUGUUAUUAUGCACAGUACGAUCAUAUCUGGAUCGGUGAAUAUGAACACAAGUACAGCAGAGACUGAAAGAAAGUACGUCAAAUGUUAAUGGGAAUUAUCUCCAGCCCACAGAUGCCUUAAAGACUGUACAAAUUUCCACAUUUUAUGCCAAGAUGCCGGUUAAUUGUACAGACGAGACAACUACAGCAGGAGCGCGAGGAAACGCUUCCCAGCGCAGAAAAGUGAAGAUACUGACCCAAGACUUACUCCGGGUAAAGUUUGCGUAUCCAAAACCUGAAAGCAGCUCACCUACUUUUUGAUGUCCAUUUAGCCCUGUUCCUUUUCGGGAAAGAGGCCACCUCGGGCUGUGCGUUCUCCGGGGGUCUCUCUUGCCUUUUACAUACAACCUUCUCCUGAACCCCUGUAUGGCCCUUACUGUGUACAAGGGAAAACAAGGCAGUUUGCAGAGCUCCGGAAACCACGAGUGGCAAGUGUGGUAGCUGGGCCUGGCUUCGCCCUCUCCAGCAAGGCUACAGAUGCCUCCAGAUUCCAGCGGGCCACGUCAACGGAAUCAUCUGGAGUAUUCGAAAUUGAUUUGAAUAUUCAAUACAGAUCAUCGCAGCAGAACUCAUGGAUGAGAAAUAAUGUGAAUCCAUCGCCAUCGAUUAGCUAAUUUAUGUUCUACAACUAAUUGAAGCACAAAUCUCAUUAGCCACAGUCACUGCCACAAGAUGGAGUGGAGAUUAAUGCCAGGCCAUUUCCUGUGCUUGUUAUACUCUUUGUCAUUAGAAUAAAACAUCAUAAUUUGAGCAUCUCAUGGAUACUGAGAAGGACGGCCGCGGAGGGGUGGCCACGCCGAGCACUGGCCAAACCCUAAUAGUGUGGCUCUCUUUGACUGGGCCGCUGCAGCCAUCGGCAGACGUACUGCUUAUGAAGGGCUUUGCGACCUGCGAAGCGCUCUCCAAGAGCGAGAAAGGAAGACAACGAGAUCGGAGUUCACCUCCCAGAUCAACACUCCUGACUGUGCGAACUGGGUCAAGACAGCUAGGCGAGCCUGCCUCCCCAUCUGUAGAAAAGAGGCUAAAACCACUCACCACAUUAGGGCUCUUGUAAAGGAGAUGGUGAAGAUGAGGUGCCUGGAAUGGGGCCUGACGUAGAUUCAUUGCCCCAUAAAUGGUGGCUAUAAUUGUGGGUGAUGGUCAUUGCCUAUGUCAUCAUCUUCCUCAUCAUUAAAUGUAGAUUCAUUAAUAUUCCGACGAGGCAAGUAACAACACUAAGGACUGCUCACUCCAGGCAGUUUUCCGUCACAGGAUUUUUUGUGUGAACAGAGUCUUACCUAGAGGUCCUGCCCGUUUCACAGUCAACUGCAGAACUGCUUUGGUUCAAGAGGGAACGGGACGCCUGAGCGGCUCAGACAGUUAAGUGUCCAACUUCGGCUCAGGUCACAAUCUCACAGUCCGUGAGUUUGAGCCCCGCAUCGGGCUCUGUGCUGACAACUCAGGGCCCGGAGCCUGCUUCAGAUUCUGUGUCUCCCUCUCUCUCUGCUCCUCCCCCUGCUUGCACUCUGCCUCUCUCUCUAAAAUAAAUAAACAUUUC
Long non-coding RNA from Acinonyx jubatus (cheetah), 1634 nucleotides. RefSeq lists it as uncharacterized. The record is from RefSeq and is a predicted model, not a curated record. The transcript is spliced from 3 exons. NCBI's taxonomy places the organism in Eukaryota, Metazoa, Chordata, Mammalia, Carnivora, Felidae.